UGGGGAAUCUUGGACAAUGGGGGCAACCCUGAUCCAGCAAUGCCGCGUGGAUGAUGAAGGCCCUAGGGUUGUAAAAUCCUUUCGUUGGGGACGAUAAUGACGGUACCCAAAGAAGAAGCUCCGGCUAACUUCGUGCCAGCAGCCGCGGUAAUACGAAGGGGGCUAGCGUUGUUCGGAUUUACUGGGCGUAAAGCGCGUGUAGGCGGGUCGUUAAGUUGGGGGUGAAAUCCCGAGGCUCAACCUCGGAACUGCCUUCAAAACUGGCGACCUGGACUCAAGUAGAGGCAAGUGGAAUUGCGAGUGUAGAGGUGAAAUUCGUAGAUAUUCGCAGGAACACCAGUGGCGAAGGCGACUUGCUGGACUUGUAGUGACGCUGAGACGCGAAAGCGUGGGGAGCAAGCAGGAUUAGAUACCCUCGUAGUCCCUGAGCGGGCUGGCAAGGCGCAU
RNAcentral lists this ribosomal RNA (447 nucleotides) under uncultured bacterium. RNAcentral describes it as "bacterial SSU rRNA". It matches the Rfam family "Bacterial small subunit ribosomal RNA", at positions 355 to 825 of the family's 1533-position model. The record is from RNAcentral.